Long non-coding RNA from Dunckerocampus dactyliophorus (ringed pipefish), 7386 nucleotides. RefSeq lists it as uncharacterized. The transcript is spliced from 3 exons. Lineage: Eukaryota; Metazoa; Chordata; Actinopteri; Syngnathiformes; Syngnathidae. The record is from RefSeq and is a predicted model, not a curated record.
UGGAUGAAUGACAAUGUGUCCUGCAGUCUCCUCAGCAUCCAUCCCCUUUUAACAUGCACGAUACACGCUCACAACGCUUUUUAUUUCGUGUUGCAACGGAAAAGAACGAUGCCGUGAAAGCUACGUGGUAAAAAUGCUGCAUCUGUGUAACGUGCGUCGGUCAAGACUACUGAUUGAAGCUUCACGGUAGUAGGUUUCGCGGUUAAAGUGCUGUAACGAGAAUAAAAGCCGCUCGCCCACCUCUUCCUGCUGCGUUGGAUUGGGUCUCUGGUUCGGCUGCUCCUUGCUGGCUGUCAUGGUGUAAAGUCCUCGGUCCGAAGUGUUGAUCUAACGCCGCUAAGGAAGAUGCUAAAGAGAUUCUCAUCAACGGAUGAUGAGGAAGAGGAGGGAGAUUUCGUCACCAGUGAGGUGCAGGAGAACAUCUGACCAGAAGACAACACGAUCCCAUCAACUCCACGACUUCCAGGCGAGACGACGAGGCACACCGGCAAGCACUUGGUAAUCAGGCACAGCGGCUACGGCAGAUCGUACUUCAUUCAAGACCGUUCAAGACCUGCGAGAGCUGUUUCACUUCCUUGUCUGCCUCCAGUACCUUUCAUCAUUUCAUCAAGUAUAAGCUUGUGUUCUGAUAUAUCAUGUUUCUGAUUGACACAUUUUAUGAUAUUCUGACUUUGUGCUCACCUUGUCGCUUUGCCGCAGCCAUCCCUUUUUUGACGUCUCCGUUAUUUUUUGUGACUAGUGGAACCGUGUUGCCUGCGAACUGAGUUUCAUUUUCCAUUGUCCUGGGGAGUCGUGUCGUGACGUCACAGGGGUUACGAAAUAACGGGACAUUUCAAGCGGAGAUGCUGAGCCAGCUGAAGUCAGCCCUCUGCUACACCGCACAGCACUCCAGGACCAUUCAAACGCUGCAAUCCCAGUAUGGAAAAGUCGAAUGCAACAAAAUGCAUUGAAAGUCCAUUCUGGACUUUCUUACAAAAUAAUCUGAGCGAGAACAUCGACGACAGGAGGAGACGGAGGCCAAAACAUGUAUAAAAUAUACACAUUAAAAGAAACGCAUUUUUACAACUGUGACAUUCAUUGCAAAACAACAAACAACUCUAAUGAAUAUCAGCUUACAACCAGAACUGUAAAAACAUUUCUAAAAAUCGAAAAUGUAUCAAAUAUACAUAUGAAAUAGAAAUAACAAUAUAACAAACUUCAUGAACAUCAACAAAUGUCUAAACCUUAUCAAGCAUUAUUUCAAGGUUUAAAAACAGCCCCGUUUUGGCCUCGGUCUCCUCUUGCCGUUGAUGUUUUCUGUCAGAAUCUUCUACCCCUUCGUUUCAAGCCUGGUCCUCGAACACACACUUGGUUUCUAGGGCUGUACACCGCUUAGCACUUACCCCUUACCCCUUGAUUUAAGGAGAUUUGGGACACCACUUAAUUCUCGUGAACGCGCAAAACCGAAAGAUAAGGGCUAAGAUAAGGGCUAAGAUAAGGGGUAAGGGGUAGAAUAGGGUUUCAGCCUUAGACAGACUUGAUUGAUCCACAGGGGAAAUUGCUCAGUUGCAGCAGAAAACGAAAAACACUCAUAUCAAAUGCAAUACAAUAUGAACAAAAUAUAAUUUAAAAAAAGAAUAUAAGAUAAACAAGGUUGGCAUAUUUAGAAAUAGUGAGUAAAAUAUAAAGUAAAUGCAAGUCAAUUUACACCACGCUAUACAAGGGACGCCAGACAGUACAGUUCAAUAAGGUUGUGAAUGAAUGAAUGAUGACUAAUUACAUUACUAAUUACUAUUAUUACAUUACUAUUACUAUAUUAUUAUUAUUAUAUUAUACAUUAUUAUUAUUAUUAUUAUUAUUAUUAUUAUUAUUAUUAUUAUUAUUAAUAUCAUUAUUAUUAUUAUUAUUAUUAUUAUUAUUAUUAUUAUUAUUAUAUACAUUACUAUUAAAACAUUACUAAUUACAUGUCAUAAUGUCUUCAGUUUUGCCGGACACUAUUUUUGUCAAGACUUGCUUCUGUCUCUGCAUCCAGGGUCCAACCAAUACCAAAUCCUCACAAAUGCUCCACUAUUAACUGUGGACCAGGUUUUUGUAGAGAGUGGUCAUUUUAACCGAGGGUCUGGCUUUUUAAUGCCUUUAAAGCUAACAGGCUUUUAAAGCCAUCAAAUUUAAAUGAAUUGAAAAAAAUGUUAUAGUUUUUUUUUCCCCCUCCCAGCCUUGAGCACAUUGUAAAAUGGAUUGUCACAGUUUUGUCAAAUAGCCAUUCAGCCUCAAAAGAGUACCCAUGUUACUUCCAUACCACCACUGAAAGGUCAAGCUCUUGCAUUUUGUGCGUCUCAGCACUCAAUUAGUUGAAAAUUGCCUUUUGUCUGCUGGGAGCAGGUGAUAAUUGCUGUGGGUCACAAGCAAUAAUUGCCAGUGAAACCCUUAGAGCCGCUGCCUAUUAAGUGGAGAUAUUUAAAUCGCAUCACCUUUGGGGUGCUUCCAUCUUUUAUACUUGCCAUUAAUUGGGGAAAGGAUUUGUAGAACUUUCCAGUGUUGAUUUAACCCCUAGGAACCCCUAGGUCAACACAUCUUUAAAUGUCCUAAAACGGACCCUCUGCAGCUUUGCUCUUCAUUUGAACUCAUCCACUCCAUAAGUGACAUUUUCGAAUGGUUGUCAUGUGACAGUCAUGUGACUCUGAUUAUUUUUGUGCAAGGUGGCCGCUGUCAUUAAUUGUGAGAGGAGUGAUCACAUUCAUAGAAUGACAUGGUUAUUACGCACACAAAAGUAGUCGUGGUUGAGCAAGUGUGCUGUGGGUAUGACUUUUACAUUACUUUGGGUCUUUAUGUUUUAUUUGAAUUUAUGUCGGUUAUCAUUAAUAACCAGCGAGGACUGACAGCAUUACAGGCAUUCCAUGACAUACGCAAACUGGCCAUACAGUCACGGCCAAAAUACCAGUGUUUUUGGCCAUGGCUGUAUAAAUCAGGCUGAUUUGGAUGUAUUCCAUACAGGCAUGGCCAAAGACGUUGGUUUCUAAAAAAUUAAAGACGUUGGUUUCUAAAAAUUCUUCAUGUCCUUCUUGUCUGCAUAAGCCUGGCAGGCGUCCGCCUUCUCUCUGAGUCGAAACCACAGCUUUUUAUUGCAGGUUUGAAUUAUCUCACAACAAGCACAAUAAAAACACGAGCCACCGUUGUGGCCGUAAGCUACGGCAAGUUGAAACUCAACUCUGACCCGCUGCCACCACUUCCUUUUCAGUUUAUAAAUAAGGAAUCCUACUUGGCGGAAAUUGACAUAUCACGGUCAUGUCUGGAACCAAGGGAGGGAUAACUGUACUUCUAAAUGCUCGCGUUGUGUGGUGUAGUUUUUCAAAAUUGUGUUGACGCCAUAAAGCUAACGCCAGUGUGUGUUUAUAUGUGUCCUGUAAGUGACUGACAACCGGUGCAGGGAGCUUGGGUAGACCCACCCAUGACCCUGAAGAGGAUAAGCGGUGGAAAAUGAAUGAAUGAAAAUCCACCAAAUACAAAAGUACUAUACGUAACAACACGGCCCAAGUCGUUUUCCUAACAACGUGGUGCAUGUUGGGAAUACGACACUAAAGGGUGUACUCGUGUGACAUCUUGAAGUAGAACAAAUGUGAAAGAGCAGAAAGUGUACAGCAAAGUAGAAGAGGAAAAAGAAGUCGUUAAGUGGGAGAUAAGAGGAAUUAGGUGAAGAACGCAUGAGCAGAGGAGGGAAUGGUAAAAGUAAAAAGGAACAUCCAGCGACCGUAGCAAUUAACAAAGGCUGCCUUCUGGGCUCCGUCCCUUCAGGAAAGAGCCAAGUAAGCCUUUCUAAUUAUCACUACUAUAAAACACCACGUCUAAUCUGUGUGGAGAAGUCACACAGCUAGACUAACUGACCCAUGUGACGCUCCUCUGGUGUAUGAACCUUACUUAAGGGGGUACAAAAUAUACUAAAGCUUUAUGGGCACGUAAACAGUCUGUAAGUGAACUAUAUGGGCUGACAGUUUGUGGUCCAGCCAAUGUUUUUGGUACAAGAGUUCCAUAAAUGCAAAGCUGAAUCAAGGAGGGUGGAAAUAAUCUGAACCCCAGUAAGUAGUAUAGUUCAUAGUUCAAAUUGUCAAUCAAAAAUCCUUUGCUCGUGUAUAUUCUGGGUGUCUUGUUCAGUACAAACCUGUAAAAUUCACUUCCUGGCAUUAUUGAAUUGUACCGUAUAUACUUUAUAAUAUUAAAUAAGUAUUCCAUCUCUAGCUGAUUUUGUAAGUUUACACCCUUACAACGAUGUGGGUAUGGAUAGAAAACAGAAAAAAAACCAUAAGUAUUAUUAUUUAUUUGUAUUUAUCAUUUAUGUUUUAUUUAUAUUUUAAUGUAUUUUUGUUGAUUUAUUUGUGUUAUUAAGGUAAUUCAUUUGUAUUUGACUGAGUGAAAGAAGUAUUUGAUACCCAUACCAACCAGCAUUCUGACCCCCAAACAGGUUACGUCACCACGAAACACACAAAUUAGUCCUGCUCGACUGCAGAAACCUUUCACACUCAAUGCAACACCGCCCUCUGGUGGCUGUCCCCGGCACAACUUCCGACUUCAGCCUGCAUCUAACAUAAAAUCUUUCACAUCUUCACUUCAUCUUUGUGCUUGUCGACUGUGUCCUCCUAAGACUUUGUCCUCAGUAGAUGUGUCCAUCACUCCUGACUGUUUUAUCCAUUACUGUAUGGCUUUUAACAACUUUUAACAACUGACUUUCUACACUGUUUUAGGGGGAAUGGCCUCAGCUCCUUCCGCUUUACACAUUUUUAAUGUGUUCUUCCUGUUGGCCUUGACAAAUUCCACUACUUUCUCCUGCUUAUUACUUCUACUGCUUUUCCCUGUGCCCCUUCAACCCUUUGGAGUCCAGGAUAGUGUCAUGUAUGGCUUUACUGUUAUUUUAUACAUUUUAUACACACACACACAGUUUUUUUAACACCUUGGGCCUAAAAUCCAAGAAGGAAAAAUGUUAAAAAUGUUAAAAAUGUCUAACAUGUGUAUGUAACUCUUCUUAUAACUUAGAGAAUAUUAACUUAUGUACACAUUUAGCAAACAAGAUACAGUAAAUGUAGUGGAAAAAACAAUUUACUAACUAUGUGCACAACAAAUAAUGUCACUCAUUGCAAAACAAUGUUUUUUUUCCACCUGAAGACAACACAGUUGUAACAUUGUGUAACAUUUUUGAUCAUCCAGAGGGAAAAGUCAGGCCUGUGCUGGCCUUUCAAAACAAUGAUGUGCGUCUUUGCAUCAUUUGACCACUUGAUGGCACUGUUCCCUCACAUUCCCCCCUCCCUCGGCAACCAAACGGCUGGUGAUGCUUUCACUGAUUAAUGACAUGUUUUUCUUGUGCGUCAUGUUUCAUUAUUAGUUUAUUUUUCGCUGCCUUCCUGCACUGAAAGCGCUAACAAAUGAGAAAUAAAGUGAUGACACAAUGACAACAUCAUAGUGAACAUGAUUGAUCAUAAAUCUGGUUUCACUUGACCGAUUUUUCACCAUUUAAAAACUCAUGCAACGCCUCCUACAAGUUCAGUACAAGAACACUUCAAAUGUGUCCUAUGCAUGAAGUCCCUAAGUGACGUAUAGGAAACAUUUUGGAGUGGUUAUCAUGUGACAUUCGUGUGACUAUCCCAUGAUGUCUUCCCCAAAAUGUCAGGUACAUACACGUUUGUCAUUAAAGUGCAUUUUAAAGCCAUUUAACUAUUAUACUGCUUUAAUAAGGUGUCAAGUAUUACCAUCUAACGAUACUUACUAUAUUUCUUCAGUGUAUUCAUAGAAGGAAAGUAGGAAAAUAUCACAAGAAGGACACGUUUAAAAAAAGACUUAAUAAUUGGAUCGAGGAUAAGGCUUCUUGAGACGUCAUCUGUACUUCUGUGAAGAAGGUGUCGGACGUAAGUACAGAUGUACAGAAGUACAGAUGACGUCUCAAGAAGCCUUUUCCUCGAUGGACAACUCCUGUACGACUGAGAGCCUACACAGACGCAUUAAUAAUUGGAUGAUACGUAUAAUGCGUCCAGACUUUAGGGGGACACUGUAGAGCUGUUUUUAAAAAUCAGUUUUUGUUGUUUGGUUUGUUGUUUUUUUUGCUGAAUCGUUCAACUUCAAAAUUAGGUCAUGUUCAGAAUUCAAUCAAGCAUCUUCAAUGCAUGCCCUGGCUUCCUAUAGCCUCGCCUUCCUAUCUCUCUCUCCCACUCUCCUCCCCUACAACGGCUUGCUAUUCCUCGCACAGGACGGAUGCAGGAGAAAGCAAACUGUAGAUCUUGACAUUCAAACAUUGCAUGCAUUUUAAAAUGCCUCACAAAGGUUUGGUCAGGAGGUCGGCCUGCGCGUUGUCUUUUUGUGUUCCUGUUCUGUUUUAUCUAAGCACAUACCCUGCAAGCCAAGGUCAAUUCCGUGUGUACGCAAAAGGUGAGGGGUUUGCUGCUGUCAGUCGCAGACCGCGAACAGCAAGGAGAAUCCUUAUUAGAACAGUGGUUUUCAACCUUUUCUGAGCCGAGGCACAUUUUUUUAAUUGAAAAAAACACGAGGCACACUUCCACUCACUCAGUGUGAAACGUGGGCCUGUUUGGAUGAACACAGAGCUAAUAUUAUGGCAGGAAUCGGAAAAAAGACACACGACGCUCUUCCUCAACGACUCUCAGUCUGUUUUGGAGAUGGAGUUGAAGGUUACUUGGGACCAGAGAAUCUUUGGAUAUCGUUUCCUCGCAAGUAAAUCCAAAUGAAAGACGCGCAGUUUUGCUUCCGCUAUCCGUCUUUUGCUUUCUUUUGACCUCCACUCAUACUUGGGCCUUCAUCUGGGUCCGAAUUUUUCCUAGGGUGCAGUUCAGAAUUAGCAGGACAGUCUGGAGCAGUGGAUACUGGCUCUCAACUUACUUUUGUAUGGUUCACCACUUCUUUGGUUUUCUCUUUUCUUAACGUUGCCAAGAGACACUGGGCUGUUCAUACAGUAGCCUCUUCUGCAGCUCCCUUGCCUGCUUGAUGAUCUGAUUAGCCCGAGUGGAUAUGGCUGACAGAGUUUUUGAGCAAUCAUACCAACUCUUUUUCAAACAGUUUCUAUCUGCUUUUUCACAAACGGAUUUGAAGCAAUCUAUCUGAGCUGUCAGUGGCAGCUUUUCACCAGCCAUGCAUGUGAACACACAUUUCCAUCUGCAGUGCAGCUCCUUGACUCACUGUCACCAUCUGUCCAUCAGUGGAAGAUUGCAUAACCAAGAAGCGCCAGUGACAUGCACUUCAUACAUGCAUUCACAAUUAUCGGCGAUCGUGCAAGGAAUGCCAUGUUCUGCAUGGCAGUCAUGCUAAUAUUGUUGUAAUUUCCUCUUUUUCUGUAAAUGACUCCCCUUUGUUAAAAUGUACUUUGUUGUUGUCUAUUCUGCUCUAUGUGAGCAUUAAAUAAAGACUAUUUUUUCU